Molecule: ribosomal RNA, 483 nt
Filed under: uncultured bacterium
Lineage: Bacteria
Description: partial 16S ribosomal RNA
Rfam family: Bacterial small subunit ribosomal RNA
Source: RNAcentral
GAUGAACGCUGGCGGCGUGCUUAAUACAUGCAAGUCGAGCGAACCGCUUCGGUGGUGAGCGGCGAACGGGUGAGUAACACGUAAGUGAUCUGCCCAUCAGACGGGGACAACGAUUGGAAACGAUCGCUAAUACCGGAUAGGACGAAAGUUUAAAGGUGCUUCUGGCACCGCUGAUGGAUGAGCCUGCGGCGCAUUAGCUAGUUGGUAGGGUAAAGGCCUACCAAGGCGACGAUGCGUAGCCGACCUGAGAGGGUGAACGGCCACACUGGGACUGAGACACGGCCCAGACUCCUACGGGAGGCAGCAGUAGGGAAUCUUCGGCAAUGGGCGAAAGCCUGACCGAGCAACGCCGCGUGAAUGAUGAAGGCCUUCGGGUUGUAAAAUUCUGUUAUAAGGGAAGAACGACUUUAGUAGGAAAUGGCUAGAGUGUGACGGUACCUUAUGAGAAAGCCACGGCUAACUACGUGCCAGCCGCCGCAGUAA